Molecule: ribosomal RNA, 500 nt
Filed under: uncultured bacterium
Lineage: Bacteria
Description: bacterial SSU rRNA
Rfam family: Bacterial small subunit ribosomal RNA
Source: RNAcentral
GAUGAACGCUAGCGGCAGGCCUAAUACAUGCAAGUCGAACGAGAUCAAGGACUUCGGUUCUUGGUUUAGUGGCGCACGGGUGCGUAACGCGUAUGCAACCUACCUUCCACAGGGGGAUAGCCCACCGAAAGGUGGAUUAAUACCGCAUAACACAGAUGAGUGGCAUCGCUUAACUGUCAAAGAUUUAUCGGUGGAAGAUGGGCAUGCGUGCCAUUAGCUAGUUGGUAGUGUAACGGACUACCAAGGCUUCGAUGGCUAGGGGUUCUGAGAGGAUGGUCCCCCACACUGGUACUGAGACACGGACCAGACUCCUACGGGAGGCAGCAGUAGGGAAUAUUGGGCAAUGGCCGAGAGGCUGACCCAGCCAUGCCGCGUGCAGGAAGAAGGCCUUCUGGGUUGUAAACUGCUUUUAUCUAGGAAGAAAACGCCCCUGCGGGGGUAACUGACGGUACUAGAUGAAUAAGCACCGGCUAACUCCGUGCCAGCAGCCGCGGUAAUAC